GGCAGCCGCCGCGGGAACACCGGCGGCCCGAGUGGUGAUCGUGAUUAUUGGGUCUAAAGGGUCCGUAGCCGGUUUGGUCAGUCCUCCGGGAAAUCUGAUAGCUCAACUAUUAGGCUUUCGGGGGAUACUGCCAGACUUGGAACCGGGAGAGGUAAGAGGUACUACAGGGGUAGGAGUGAAAUCUUGUAAUCCCUGUGGGACCACCUGUGGCGAAGGCGUCUUACCAGAACGGGUUCGACGGUGAGGGACGAAAGCUGGGGGGCACGAACCGGAUUAGAUACCCGGGUAGUCCCAGCCGUAAACGAUGCUCGCUAGGUGUCAGGCAUGGCGCGACCGUGUCUGGUGCCGCAGGGAAGCCGUGAAGCGAGCCACCUGGGAAGUACGGCCGCAAGGCUGAAACUUAAAGGAAUUGGCGGGGGAGCACAACAACGGGUGGAGCCCUGCGGUUUAAUUGGACUCAACGCCGGACAACUCACCGGGGGCGACAGCAAUAUGUAGGCCAAGCUGAAGACUUUGCCUGAAUCGCUGAGAAGAGGUGCAUGG
This 543-nucleotide ribosomal RNA is filed under the name uncultured archaeon. RNAcentral's name for it is "bacterial SSU rRNA". It matches the Rfam family "Archaeal small subunit ribosomal RNA", at positions 457 to 997 of the family's 1478-position model. The record is from RNAcentral.